GACGAACGCUGGCGGCGUGCUUAACACAUGCAAGUCGAACGGAAAGGCCCUGCUUUUGUGGGGUGCUCGAGUGGCGAACGGGUGAGUAACACGUGAGUAACCUGCCCUUGACUUUGGGAUAACUUCAGGAAACUGGGGCUAAUACCGUAUAGGAGCUCCUGCUGCAUGGUGGGGGUUGGAAAGUUUCGGCGGUUGGGGAUGGACUCGCGGCUUAUCAGCUUGUUGGUGGGGUAGUGGCUUACCAAGGCUUUGACGGGUAGCCGGCAUGAGAGGGUGACCGGCCACAUUGGGACUGAGAUACGGCCCAGACUCGUACGGGAGGCAGCAGUGGGGAAUAUUGCACAAUGGGCGGAAGCCUGAUGCAGAAACGCCGCGUGCGGGAUGACGGCCUUCGGGUUGUAAACCGCUUUCGCCUGUGACGAAGCGUGAGUGACGGUAAUGGGUAAAGAAGCACCGGCUAACUACGUG
This 468-nucleotide ribosomal RNA is filed under the name uncultured bacterium. RNAcentral describes it as "partial 16S ribosomal RNA". It matches the Rfam family "Bacterial small subunit ribosomal RNA", at positions 28 to 507 of the family's 1533-position model. The record is from RNAcentral.